RNAcentral lists this ribosomal RNA (469 nucleotides) under Ladislavella elodes. RNAcentral describes it as "partial 16S ribosomal RNA". It matches the Rfam family "Bacterial large subunit ribosomal RNA", at positions 1796 to 2620 of the family's 2925-position model. The record is from RNAcentral. Lineage: Eukaryota; Metazoa; Mollusca; Gastropoda; Lymnaeidae.
UCGCCUGUUUAUCAAAAACAUAGCUUGAAGUUUUAUUUUAGGUAAAUUCUGCCCAGCGUAAAUAUUAGCGGCCGCAGUACCUUGACUGUGCUAAGGUAGCAUAAUCAAUUGGCUUUUAAUUGAAGUCUGGAAUGAACGGAUUAAUGAGGACUUGCUGUCUCUAAAUAAUUUAUUUGAAAUUAUUUAUUAAGUGAAAAUACUUAUAAUUAGAAAAAAGACGAGAAGACCCUUAGAAUUUUUAAUAAAAUAUAGAUUAAUAUUAUUUUUUUGUUGGGGCGACAAAGAAACAUUUAAACUUUCAUUAUUUCAUGACAUUAAGAUUUGAAAGAAUAAAUUACCUUAGGGAUAACAGCAUAAUUAAUAAAUUAGUUUGUGACCUCGAUGUUGGACUAGGAACUAGUUGACUAACAGUCAAAAUAGAUUGUUCUGUUCGAACAGAAAUUCCUACGUGAUCUGAGUUCAGACCGGA